CGCGGUAAUACGUGGAAGACUAGUGUUAUUCAUCUUUAAUAGGUUUAAAGGGUACUUAGACGGUAAAUUAAGCCCACAAAGGGUACUAAUUAUACUAGAGUUUUAAGAGGAGGGUGUAGAGAUGAAAUUCAGUCAUACCAUUAUCAGGCAACGGCGAAAGCAACCUUUAGAAAAACUGACGUUAAAGGACGAAGGCUUUGUGUCACCAACAGGAUUAGAUACCCAAGCAGUCUUAGCAGACAAUUAUGAAUGCCAUAGGUUUUUGUCUAUAAAUGAAAGUGUAAGCAUUCCACCUCAA
RNAcentral lists this ribosomal RNA (298 nucleotides) under Circinaria cerebroides. RNAcentral's name for it is "partial large subunit ribosomal RNA". It matches the Rfam family "Bacterial small subunit ribosomal RNA", at positions 516 to 873 of the family's 1533-position model. The record is from RNAcentral. Lineage: Eukaryota; Fungi; Ascomycota; Lecanoromycetes; Pertusariales; Megasporaceae.